This 78-nucleotide small RNA is filed under the name Pectobacterium atrosepticum. RNAcentral describes it as "isrK". It matches the Rfam family "isrK Hfq binding RNA". Lineage: Bacteria; Pseudomonadati; Pseudomonadota; Gammaproteobacteria; Enterobacterales; Pectobacteriaceae. The record is from RNAcentral.
GUUGCCGCAAAAUCGGCAAUCGGGAUUUGCAGCCCGUGUAUUCUACUGGCGACACCAGACGCGCCUUGCGUCUUUUUU